Molecule: transfer RNA, 72 nt
Filed under: archaeon
Lineage: Archaea
Description: tRNA-Thr
Rfam family: tRNA
About the family: Transfer RNA (tRNA) molecules are approximately 80 nucleotides in length. Their secondary structure includes four short double-helical elements and three loops (D, anti-codon, and T loops).
Source: RNAcentral
GCCUGCGUAGCUCAGUGGCAGAGCGGCUGCCUUGUAAGCAGUAGGUCGGGAGUUCAAAUGUCUCCGCAGGCU